This 1554-nucleotide ribosomal RNA is filed under the name Klebsiella pneumoniae. RNAcentral describes it as "bacterial SSU rRNA". It matches the Rfam family "Bacterial small subunit ribosomal RNA". The record is from RNAcentral. RNAcentral also lists the same sequence under 1 other name. Lineage: Bacteria; Pseudomonadati; Pseudomonadota; Gammaproteobacteria; Enterobacterales; Enterobacteriaceae.
ACUUAAAUUGAAGAGUUUGAUCAUGGCUCAGAUUGAACGCUGGCGGCAGGCCUAACACAUGCAAGUCGAGCGGUAGCACAGAGAGCUUGCUCUCGGGUGACGAGCGGCGGACGGGUGAGUAAUGUCUGGGAAACUGCCUGAUGGAGGGGGAUAACUACUGGAAACGGUAGCUAAUACCGCAUAACGUCGCAAGACCAAAGUGGGGGACCUUCGGGCCUCAUGCCAUCAGAUGUGCCCAGAUGGGAUUAGCUAGUAGGUGGGGUAACGGCUCACCUAGGCGACGAUCCCUAGCUGGUCUGAGAGGAUGACCAGCCACACUGGAACUGAGACACGGUCCAGACUCCUACGGGAGGCAGCAGUGGGGAAUAUUGCACAAUGGGCGCAAGCCUGAUGCAGCCAUGCCGCGUGUGUGAAGAAGGCCUUCGGGUUGUAAAGCACUUUCAGCGGGGAGGAAGGCGUUAAGGUUAAUAACCUUGGCGAUUGACGUUACCCGCAGAAGAAGCACCGGCUAACUCCGUGCCAGCAGCCGCGGUAAUACGGAGGGUGCAAGCGUUAAUCGGAAUUACUGGGCGUAAAGCGCACGCAGGCGGUCUGUCAAGUCGGAUGUGAAAUCCCCGGGCUUAACCUGGGAACUGCAUUCGAAACUGGCAGGCUAGAGUCUUGUAGAGGGGGGUAGAAUUCCAGGUGUAGCGGUGAAAUGCGUAGAGAUCUGGAGGAAUACCGGUGGCGAAGGCGGCCCCCUGGACAAAGACUGACGCUCAGGUGCGAAAGCGUGGGGAGCAAACAGGAUUAGAUACCCUGGUAGUCCACGCCGUAAACGAUGUCGAUUUGGAGGUUGUGCCCUUGAGGCGUGGCUUCCGGAGCUAACGCGUUAAAUCGACCGCCUGGGGAGUACGGCCGCAAGGUUAAAACUCAAAUGAAUUGACGGGGGCCCGCACAAGCGGUGGAGCAUGUGGUUUAAUUCGAUGCAACGCGAAGAACCUUACCUGGUCUUGACAUCCACAGAACUUAGCAGAGAUGCUUUGGUGCCUUCGGGAACUGUGAGACAGGUGCUGCAUGGCUGUCGUCAGCUCGUGUUGUGAAAUGUUGGGUUAAGUCCCGCAACGAGCGCAACCCUUAUCCUUUGUUGCCAGCGGUUAGGCCGGGAACUCAAAGGAGACUGCCAGUGAUAAACUGGAGGAAGGUGGGGAUGACGUCAAGUCAUCAUGGCCCUUACGACCAGGGCUACACACGUGCUACAAUGGCAUAUACAAAGAGAAGCGACCUCGCGAGAGCAAGCGGACCUCAUAAAGUAUGUCGUAGUCCGGAUUGGAGUCUGCAACUCGACUCCAUGAAGUCGGAAUCGCUAGUAAUCGUAGAUCAGAAUGCUACGGUGAAUACGUUCCCGGGCCUUGUACACACCGCCCGUCACACCAUGGGAGUGGGUUGCAAAAGAAGUAGGUAGCUUAACCUUCGGGAGGGCGCUUACCACUUUGUGAUUCAUGACUGGGGUGAAGUCGUAACAAGGUAACCGUAGGGGAACCUGCGGUUGGAUCACCUCCUUACCUUAAAGAA